UUAUAAUUUUAUUUGCUGUUUUUAAUUGUCUUUUAAUUCCUGCAUUUUAUUUCACUUUAUUGUAUGAAAUGUUAUAAUGUGAAGCACUUUGAGUCUGCCUUGUGUAUGAAAAGUGCUAUACAAAUAAAAUUGCCUUGCCUUGCUUUACACAGGACUGCUAGGGAUUUUUCAGGAAACAGCUAAUACAUAAUUACAGUUGUGGAGUUGCAGUUAAAUUUACAGCUGCAUUAAAAUCAAAACUAAAAUAAAGUGAUUAAUUAGUUAUAAUUAGAAUGUCUCCAUGUAUUAGGAACUUUUUGCCUGGAGCCAAGCCUUUUGGUGCAUUUAUUGGACACUUCUGUUGAAUGAUGAUACGCAUUUGGUGCAAAUUUAUACUUAAAGUAAAUGAGAGUGUCUAUGAUCAUCGUUAUGCGGGGACAAAUGUUUGUAUUGGUUGUGCUAAAUUGAACAUUUUAGGUGCACUUUCCUGGUAAACAAGUGAUUAAAAGCUUCUAUCCUUGCAGCAGAAGUGAGAGGCCUCUAUUGAGUGGACCAGUGGUGCCUCUUCCUCUCAGCCUAGAGAGCUGAAUACAUGUUACUAUUUAAUUACAUCACUAUUUUUUAAGAGCCUAAAUACACCCAUUGUCAUGCAGUUUGCAUUAGCAUGCUUGCAGAGGCUGAAAUAGAAGAGCAUUGGUUGUAUAUCUCUUGGCGACAGGGCACCUUGAUUCUUUUGGUUGCAAUUGAAAUUAUGCAGGAGCCCAGUUUUCUUUUUUUUCAUGUCUGCAUUUACAUGCUGUCCCACAGUCUGCCCCCCUGAGUUAUAUCAGGGUGCUUUAUCACCUGAAAUAAAGCAGAGGUAAAUGUUGCUGAGAAAGUGUAAAACAUCGGCCACUCUGCAGUGUAUCGUGUAUGUGUGUGUGUGUGUGCAUGUGUAUGUGUGCGCGUACGCCCGUGUGUGUGGUAUUUAAUGCUCUAAAUCUUGAGCCGGUAUGUGUGUGUAAACUAUGAGCAUUCUGCAGACUCUGCUUCUCAUGUCGUCCCCGUUUUGCUGAGGAUGCACUUUCGACUCAGGGCUGCAGGAGGUCACUGUCUGACAGAGCACACACACGCGCACACACACACGCACACCUGCACACACAUAAAAAGACACAUGCCCACGUUUGUACCUUUCCUGACAUUUGGAACGCACAUGGAUCCGAAUUCCAGUAAAAGGAGUAUCCCCUGGUGACAUUUACCUGGGUUAUCAGAAAUUAGUUAAGGUCAGCUUUAUAACUUCUGAAAACCAAGGUGGAUAACAGAGCUGAAUCCAUCUAUACCAUGCCAGUGCUCUGUGGAGCGGCACAGCAAGGCGUGUGGGUGCGCUGAACAGAAAUACCACAUGAACAUUUUGAUAAACACUGUGUGAAAAACAUGUCUAGAAUACUCCGCUUAUCCUCUAGAACCAUGCUUAUACAGUUUGAAAAUUGAAAACAGUUUUUUUAUACCCUCUGUUAAGGUCCUAGAUUGUGUUUGCUAUACCCAUGGUGCCUCUGUUAUCUUGUUUGUCCUCUAACAGUUUUGAGAUCCUUCAUUUCGGGAUGUUUUGGCGAACUUUUGAAUCCCUCUCGAGAGGCUGACUCGGAGAAAACCAAACUCUGGGGAAUAAUUGGGGGUACAUCAAAGUACUGGGCUCAGAAAUAUGUGGUAAAUACAAACUUAAUUGUGUAUGUGUUGUUUGCGUGUGUUUGUGUCUAUAUGUCUGCAGCUGAGAGGUAAUGAGGACCGGUGAAGGGUUUUUCAGAAGAGCCUGCUGCAUUCAUUCAGAUUAUUUGUUUUGCAGACGCUUUUCUGCAAAACAAAUAAUCUGAAUAUAUUCCUCAUACAUCUCACACAUCGUGUUGUAUAGUAAUGAGAAAAUGCACGGACAAAAGAAGCCCCAACCUUUACAGCUCACAGAUGCAAAUGGCCUCAUCAGAAAGCAAACCUCAUUGGCUCACUUAGAAUCCGUUCAUAGGAAGGGACAGAAAUAUUCAGGUCAUGUACCACUAGCGUAAGUUAUUUCUUUCUCUCUCACUCCCGCCCGCCCCUUUCGUCUACGACUUAACUGACCAGACUGGAAGUGGUUGACCGCGGAAAAUCACCAAUCAUUUAAUGAAACAACACAAAGCCAUUAUUCAAUAUCACAGCACAAUCAAUAUAAUCAUUCUGUGGGUAAUUGACGGGGUAUGUAGUGAAACAAGUAAAAUCCAAUAAAGAAAAAAGAGAUCAAGCAAUGCUGAACUACCAUUCAUAACAGCCGUGCUUAAAACAUAUUUUCUCUAUUGGGCUUUCUGCACAAACGUCAGCACCUCCAAGUAGCUACGAGCAGCUGAAGAAAAGGAGGCUAAUCUGGAAAACAGGAAUUCGGUUGUUCUGCACAAGAUACAGUCCUUCUUUCAAGCUGUGCAGAGCUGAGAUAACUACGGUGAACCCUUUGCCAAUUGGACUAGACCGGAGCGGGCUUCAUUGCUGCGUCACUGGAAGUCCUCAAGUAUUAUUUGGGGAAUGUGGAACGGAUACAGGCAGGUGUAAGGACGCUGGCUUUGAAAGCUCCAGGCUGUGAGUAGAGGUUUUCUGCUUCUUCUGUACUCAGCAUUUCCUGAGGCUCGUGGAAACAAACUUUGUCCCAGGCCAACACAAAAGAGAUUUCCUUCCUCUCAGCACAAUUCUGUUUUUAUUGCGGCCGAAAUAGCUUUUCAGUGAAUACAUACCCAGUGGAAUUCUAUUAUCUAUCAUGCUACCACAUAGCCAACAUUCAAGCUCAUGCCAUUCGGAGUGUACACACAGAGGGAUGCGAAGAUGUGCUCCAGAAAAUGAAACUGAGCUUGAGAAACAACAACAAGCAGACAGAUUCAGGGUAUCCUGCUCUUUGUGCAGAGAGGGAAACAUUAAUAAGGGCUCAGAGAGGUGAUGGAGAGGAUGAUUGAGGACCUCAAGAGACUUUACCUGCUCCCCGAGUUCUCCCUGUGGUGAGUGGAAUAAAACACUUCAACAGGGUGUAUUUAAAUGAUUUGCUAAUUAUACGGUAAGAUUCCUAAUUAAGGUAACAAUUCCUGAAUAUUAUUGUCAAAAUGUCAAAAUGUAACACAUUUAGUUGCUGCGCUGAAAACCCCCCAGUAGCUACUUUUGAUGUGUGGUGAGAUGCAACGCUAUGUUAAGAUUUUUUAAAAAGGCUAUUACUUUAAUUUUAUGCGUCAAAUGGAUGCCGGUAAGUGGAGCUUCCACAUUGAUGAAGGUUUGGUGCUGGAUGAACAGCACAAGCAAACAAACAUGGACGGAUAGAGUGUGCUCCCGUGGUGUGUGUGUGUGUGUGUGUGUGUGUGUGUCUGUGCGGUUCGCUCAACCUUUCGCUGAACACAGAAGAGACUUGCGCUCUUUCUAUUGUUUACCUUCCAUCUCUCUUCCUCUACUACCUCACUUGUAAGUUCAUGAAGUGAACUUCAAAAAACCCUGAAAUACAGUUACAUUGUUCUGAUCUUGAACUUGAAACACUACGCAUAGCCGCGGUUUCAAGCUCAGCUCAGCAGACAUUGUAGAGAUUAGUUUACUGUCUCUAAUACCAGUGUUAAAUAUUUUUCAAUACAGCAUGAUGUCCAUUUUGUAAAAAUAGACCGUACAGCAGGGUGUGAUUUAUGGGAUGCUACAUUCAGUUUUUACUGUUUUUUUUCCCUUAGUGGGACUUAAACCCUUUUACAGUGUGUUUUUAAUUCAUGAAAGAUAAUAAGCUUUUUUGUGUUAUUCAUCAUUCUGUGGUGCUCAACUCCACCCUCUUGUGUGGCCGGUUUUUCAAUCAAUGGCUUAUGUGGAAAUCAUUAGUUGUGUGAUGGUUUUAAUCACUCGCAAUUAAAUUUUCAAAAAUGUCAUCACAAUUAAAAAUAAUACUAGAACUACUGUACUUGUUAUCAGCACUUCUUUCACACAUGUGUGAAACUUCUACCCAAUCUAAAUACAUAAAGAUAUCACCACAGUUAUUUAAACAACAGAUUGGAAAUUGAACAAUUAUUGUUAUCAUUAUCAAUAUGUUGUUGUCAACGCUGUUUAACUUUGUGUUGGUCCACUACCGUCGUCGGUCACUUAAAAGUCCUGGUUUGGGGGUUUAAAAAUGUUAAACCGAUCCAAUCUUGAGGAUCCAUUGAAUUUGUAUGCGCCGCAUCACCCUAAACAUUUGCCUCGCAUUCUGUUUUCAACAGUCUGCAACUGUACCGGAGGUUCUGUGAUGUGAUUGUUAAGCCGCUGGUGCAAAAAGUAAAUGUGCUAUCAUGCCCACAUACUCAAUUAGUCAUACAUCUUUAGACGCGGUUAGUUUGUUCAAUGACUUUGAUCUUCCUACGAAAAUAUCUGCAUUAUAAACACACAAAUACUCCAUGGACAUCAGACAUCAUAGACGCACUUUGGAAAAACAAGUGGACUCUUUUUAACAUUGAGCCGAAUGAAAUUAAACAAUUAGGGAGUUUGUGUUACUGUGGUUUUUACCAGUUUAUAUCUCUAUUUGGCCAGCUAAAGCUAUCCCUGCAUGCAGUUUGUCCGUGGGAGUUCUCAUAAUUUAUUCACAUCGAGACAUUGGCUGUUUCUGUGGGAAGGAGCAAGAAUAUGUCUCACGAUAUCUAGAGAAUGAACCUACUUGCAUUCAUCAAAUUGGUCAAAUAGGCCACAGUAGUGUAUGAGGGUAGUUGUCUUGGUAUUCUAACUGAGCUACAAUGUCACCCUGAUAAACAAAUUUUCUGCAUUCCUUAUGCACAGACAUAGAGAAGAGGAUGAGUAUGGUGAGCAGCGAGGGACAGUAAUUGAACCCCAGAGUUAUUGAUUAUGCCAGAGUAUCACUACGGGAGACAUACAGCCUGGAUAGGUUAACUCAGAAAAGCAUGUACUGUGCUAUAGCAAGAUCAUGUUUUUGUUUCUAUUGCAAUCUCUUUGUGCUUUUAUUCCUUUCUCUUUCCUCUCAGUAAGUCUCACAUGGCUCCUUAAUAGUCACAUAACGUACAGUAAGUACUUUUCUCCUUCCUCUCCCUUGUCCACCUCCCACCUCACGUUUUCUCUUUGCCCUUUAUCUUGCUGCCUUCAGCUGAAGCCAACGCCCCACAGAACCUCUCUGCUCUCCCACCCUGUGUGUCUAAUUCCCUCAGGACUACUGAGAGCAUAUAAUAUACUCGCGAGGAUGCACACUUCUUCCAGCAGCAGCAGUACGGUCAUGUCUCCCUCCCUGGGCCUGAAGCCAAAGGCCAGCGCCGGUGUUUUACAACCAACUGGAACUGCCGCCGCGGCACUUCCCCACCUCUGUCCGUGGCCUCCCCUCCAUUCCCCCUCCACUCCCCCUCCACCCCCCUCCACCCCCGCAGCCCUCCCGGGGAUCCGCGAAGAUAGGGAUUGAACAUCUCCGGAUGCCACUUUGCAUAAAUGUUUAAUAGCAGGGAAAGCAUUAGCAUCAGUAAUUAAAGCAGUAAUUUAAGCCUAGACGCCAUCAACAGGCGAGCUACUACCACGCUGGAGUAUCACCAGUGAAACACAAUAAUUAGCUUUGUGUUGAUUGGAAGGGAGAAUGGGUUCAGAGAAUGUGUUAUUUGUGUGUGUGCAUGUGUGGGUGUGUGUGAUUUUUUGCACUUGCACUGCAUGCGCAUUACACAGGAGGGCUUUCUUUUUUGCAUUUUGACUUCCUACCUCGCAGGGGAGCGUUUUGCAAAUAUUGUGUGAUUGCACUGGAUUCACAAUUGAUCUGCUUUGCCGCUCUCAAGAUCGAUUGCGUGUGUACAGAGACCCUGUGCACCCGCUUACGUGGAAUGGCAUUUGACAUUGGUUUAGAGAGAGUGUUUAACAUUGGCCCGAGGAGGUCAAAUAUUGUCUGGGCUUCUCUAAGGAAGCUGAUAUUGUCCUAUGUCAUCACCCAUGUCCUGUGAGCCUCUCCCUCCCGUUAAUUCCUCCUAAACUCUAGACUCUAACCUUUCAAUCCGUCUGGGACCUCCGGGACAGUACCCAGCAUUCUUUUUCAUUAAAGUGCUAUGAUAGCAAUAUGGCUGUGAGGAGGGAUGAUAUGUUUUGCUUUUUUUUUCCACUGGCAUCAAAAAUCGUUAGGAGUGCGAGGAGGUCAGCCUGGCUCGUAUCUGGCUUUUAAUGGCUCCUUAAAGCUAGGCCCCAGGGAUGGGUGUACAUACAAACACACUCACACACAAACUACAGGGUGUCUGAAACCAAGCCAAGACCCCGUUUUCAUCUCGCAUUUUUCUUCAUUUUCCCUCCUUUUGUUUCAUUCGCUUCCUUUCUCUAUGCAAAUAGUUGCAGCCUUUGAUGUAUUGCAAAAGACCACUGCUGGAGCUGCUGUAUAAUUUCUAAGUCGUUCUCGGCUCGAGUUAAUUCUGCUUCUAAUUCUUUUGUUCUAAAUUAAAUUUCUUAUUUUUUUUGUUUUGGUACAAGGCGCAUUUCUAUAGAAGACUGUUGUCAGAAAGUCUUAUUCAUUUAUCAACACAGUUAAACUUAUGACCUUUGACCUUUCAAGAGAUAGCACUUUUCCCUUUCGGCUGCACCCCGCUGCUUUUUUCUCAGUAUGCUGAUAGAGUUUCUGUGCAGUUAAAUUAAGCGUAUUGAGUUUGCAUCAGCAGUGGGGUGUUAUAUGGCCAGCUGGAUACACACACACACACACACAGAAUAAACAUGCGCACAUGCUUGCAAACACACAUUCCCGCGCUGCCAUGCGCACUCCUAUCUAUCCCAGCUGACAGCUUGUUAAUUGCCAGGGGGUUAACUGGAAGUGGUUGUGUAAUUGCAUCAGAGUUUUAUUUUACCUUGGCAUCCUAUUUAUUUACUUAGACAGCGUUAAUCGUCUCAGUGCUCCCGGACAAAGUGUUCCUCGACAGAAUGGAUGUCAGCCCGGACCCGGCCCUGUCAACCUCUUUUUUAUGCAAGAUAAAAUAACCUGUGGUGCUAUGGAAUCCAAUACUAUACCAUUUAAAAUGUAUUGAAAAAGAAGGUUUUCAUUUUUAAGAGUUCCAGUGAAGUUCUUCAAGGCUUCAGAGUAUUUCUUUCUAGCCUACAACAGGAUUUUCAUGAUAUAUUGCAGUGAUGGAUUGACUGGCCUCUGCAUGUUGGGCCGCUUGCCAAUUGCCUUUGUGC
Long non-coding RNA from Gasterosteus aculeatus aculeatus (three-spined stickleback), 7101 nucleotides. The record is from Ensembl. NCBI's taxonomy places the organism in Eukaryota, Metazoa, Chordata, Actinopteri, Perciformes, Gasterosteidae.